Molecule: ribosomal RNA, 253 nt
Filed under: uncultured bacterium
Lineage: Bacteria
Description: partial 16S ribosomal RNA
Rfam family: Bacterial small subunit ribosomal RNA
Source: RNAcentral
UACGAAGGGGGCUAGCGUUGUUCGGAAUCACUGGGCGUAAAGCGCACGUAGGCGGCUAUCUAAGUCGGAUGUGAAAUCCCUCGGCUUAACCAAGGAAGUGCACCCGAAACUGGAUAGCUUGAGUACAGAAGAGGAUCGCGGAAUUCCCGGUGUAGAGGUGAAAUUCGUAGAUAUCGGGAGGAACACCAGUGGCGAAGGCGGCGAUCUGGGUUGAUACUGACGCUGAGGUGCGAAAGCGUGGGGAGCAAACAGG